GAGUCCUCGCCAACCUGCUGCAGGCGGGCGGGCACCCGCACCCCGCUCGCAGCCGGGGCCGGGCUGGGGCUGCCGCCUCCGCCAUCCCCGCACUUGCCCCAGCCCGGUAGGGCGGCCAGCCUUCGGCCGCCUCCUCCUCCUCCUCACCGGCAGCCACCGCCGCCGCCCGGCAGAAAGACAGAGCGGGGGAGCCAUGGCCGAGGGGGGCGAGGGCGAGGACGAGAUCCAGUUCCUGCGAACUCCCGCUCCGCAGCAAGGUUUCCGCUAACUUGCGGAGCGCCCUCCUCGCUGAGCACGGACUAACCCCUUCUCUGGUGCGGGCAUCCCUUCCGUACGCCUGUCUUCUUCAGUCCCG
Molecule: long non-coding RNA, 355 nt
Filed under: Anas platyrhynchos (mallard)
Lineage: Eukaryota; Metazoa; Chordata; Aves; Anseriformes; Anatidae
Description: lncRNA (ENSAPLG00020013903.1)
Source: RNAcentral